This 76-nucleotide transfer RNA is filed under the name Clostridium sp. RNAcentral's name for it is "tRNA-His". It matches the Rfam family "tRNA". Rfam says of the family: Transfer RNA (tRNA) molecules are approximately 80 nucleotides in length. Their secondary structure includes four short double-helical elements and three loops (D, anti-codon, and T loops). Lineage: Bacteria; Bacillati; Bacillota; Clostridia; Eubacteriales; Clostridiaceae. RNAcentral also lists the same sequence under 5 other names. The record is from RNAcentral.
GCGAUUGUGGUGAAGUGGUUAACACAGCGGAUUGUGGCUCCGUCACUCGUGGGUUCGAAUCCCAUCAGUCGCCCCA